GCUAAUGUGGCAGAUUUAAUGUGCUGGCUUUAAGCGCCAGCCAUAGGCUGUGUUGCCUUUUUAGUA
This 66-nucleotide transfer RNA is filed under the name Notospermus geniculatus. RNAcentral describes it as "tRNA-Leu". The record is from RNAcentral. Lineage: Eukaryota; Metazoa; Nemertea; Pilidiophora; Heteronemertea; Lineidae.